CUUUAUUUAUUAAACGAUAACAUCGAGUUAUAUGCUUCUUCAAAGAAAAUGAAUGAAUGUUCUAUACAUUUUGAUGGUGUUUCUCAAGAUUUAAUUUUAAUUACAAAAAAAAGAUAUUUAUCAAUUAAGCGUGCCAAAAAGUUAUAGUUAUUGUAUCCUGGAUAUAAACAACAAUCAGUUACGAUAGUUUUUCAUAACAUGGACAUGCGUAUUUAAAAAUGUACGUAACAAUAAAGUUAUACAGAAGAAAUGCUCAUUUUUUGUUUACAAUUUGCAUUUAAUCAUUUGUAAAUGAAUAUGUAUUUUUUGAAAUUCAGUUUACAAUUUUAUGUUUCGUUUGCUUUUGGCAUUUUUGUAUGUUGCACUUGCUUUUGGCAGCAAUAUCACGUUUUCUUGUAAUUACAAGAUUUGUGAAUGAAGCCUUUAUAUGUUUUAAAAUAAUCAUAUCUUAAGGAUUGUUACAAACUUGUUUUUCAUAAAUGAAACUGAGUUUUCAUAUUAAAAAAGAAAACAACAUUUUAUGUUACUUAAAAGCUAUAUUCCAAAAAUAUGAAACUAUCUUUAAAUUCUGCAAAAUUUUUGAAAUGUUUUUUGACAGUUUUGUUUGUUAUAAAAUUGCUUACAAUUUAAACGAUAACUUUGCUUGAGAUUUGUGGACCAUGACAUA
Molecule: long non-coding RNA, 667 nt
Organism: Hydra vulgaris (swiftwater hydra)
Lineage: Eukaryota; Metazoa; Cnidaria; Hydrozoa; Anthoathecata; Hydridae
Source: RefSeq, a predicted model, not a curated record